CGUGUCGUGAGAUGUAGGGUUAAGUCCCGCAACGAGCGCAACCCUUGAUCUUAGUUGCCAGCAUUCAGUUGGGCACUCUAAGGUGACUGCCGGUGACAAACCGGAGGAAGGUGGGGAUGACGUCAAAUCAUCAUGCCCCUUAUGACCUGGGCUACACACGUGCUACAAUGGGCAGAACAAAGGGCAGCGAAGCCGCGAGGCUAAGCCAAUCCCACAAAUCUGUUCUCAGUUCGGAUCGCAGUCUGCAACUCGACUGCGUGAAGCUGGAAUCGCUAGUAAUCGCGGAUCAGCAUGCCGCGGUGAAUACGUUCCCGGGCCUU
This 320-nucleotide ribosomal RNA is filed under the name uncultured bacterium. RNAcentral's name for it is "bacterial SSU rRNA". It matches the Rfam family "Bacterial small subunit ribosomal RNA", at positions 1061 to 1382 of the family's 1533-position model. The record is from RNAcentral.